This 484-nucleotide ribosomal RNA is filed under the name uncultured bacterium. RNAcentral describes it as "partial 16S ribosomal RNA". It matches the Rfam family "Bacterial small subunit ribosomal RNA", at positions 28 to 507 of the family's 1533-position model. The record is from RNAcentral.
AUUGAACGCUGGCGGCAGGCCUAACACAUGCAAGUCGAGGGGAAGCGGCGAGCAUGCUUCUUUAUUCAGCGGCCGACGGGCGCGUAAUGCCUAGGAACCUGCCCAGCCGUCGUGGAACACGUCCGUAACCCGGCGCUAAUACCGCAUACGCCCCGUGGCAGCAAGUGGGGGCACUUCACACCUCUCGCUAACAGCUGAGCCGAGGUCGGAUUAGCUAGUUGGUGGGGUAAAGGCCUACCAAGGCGACGAUCCGUAAGUGGGCUGAGAGGAGGAUUAGGCACACUAGAACGGAGACGCGGUCCAGACUACUACGGGAGGGAGCGGAGGGGAAUAUUAGACGAUGGGAGGAAGGCUGGUCCAACCAUGCCGCGUGGGUGGAGGGGGUCUUCGGAUUGUGAAGCUCUUCUAGUUGGGAGGGGGGGCAGUGAGUUGAUACCGUGCUGCUUUGACGGUACCAAAUGAAUAAGCACCGGCUAACUUCGUG